AAGUCGUAACAAGGUUUCCGUGGUGCUCCUUCGAAGCCUUUUCACACAACGACUCUAACCAUGUGUGCAGUCCCUUUUGUUAUGAUUGAGGGCUACGUCACUGAAGUGCUGGAAUACAAAGUUCUGUAAAUCAGCAGCCGAACGGAAAACACCCUUGGUGUUCGGUUCACAGAUUAGCUAAGUGACGGUCGGUGAGAGAUUCAAAGACCGGGGGAGAUAUGGCGGGAGUAAUCCUACACUCCACUCUAUCCCCCGGACCUCUUAACAAGAAUCAUCCCUGAUGAAGAUAUAAUCGGUCUCUAUUUUAUCUAUGGAGAGGACACGUUCCGUAGGUGAACCUGCGGAAGGAUCAUUA
Molecule: ribosomal RNA, 355 nt
Filed under: Endocarpon pusillum
Lineage: Eukaryota; Fungi; Ascomycota; Eurotiomycetes; Verrucariales; Verrucariaceae
Description: partial small subunit ribosomal RNA
Source: RNAcentral